Molecule: ribosomal RNA, 490 nt
Filed under: uncultured bacterium
Lineage: Bacteria
Description: partial 16S ribosomal RNA
Rfam family: Bacterial small subunit ribosomal RNA
Source: RNAcentral
AUUGAACGCUGGCGGCAGGCCUAACACAUGCAAGUCGAACGGUAACAGGAAGAAGCUUGCUUCUUUGCUGACGAGUGGCGGACGGGUGAGUAAUGUCUGGGAAACUGCCUGAUGGAGGGGGAUAACUACUGGAAACGGUAGCUAAUACCGCAUAAUGUCGCAAGACCAAAGAGGGGGACCUUCGGGCCUCUUGCCAUCGGAUGUGCCCAGAUGGGAUUAGCUAGUAGGUGGGGUAACGGCUCACCUAGGCGACGAUCCCUAGCUGGUCUGAGAGGAUGACCAGCCACACUGGAACUGAGACACGGUCCAGACUCCUACGGGAGGCAGCAGUGGGGAAUAUUGCACAAUGGGCGCAAGCCUGAUGCAGCUAUGCCGCGUGUAUGAAGAAGGCCUUCGGGUUGUAAAGUACUUUCAGCGGGGAGGAAGGGAGUAAAGUUAAUACCUUUGCCCAUUGACGUUACCCGCAGAAGAAGCACCGGCUAACUCCGUG